GAUUGGAGAGAGGCGGCGUGCUAAACACACACUGGUGGAGCUACUGGGGGAGAGCAGCGCAGGGAUUGGCCGAGAGCACCGUCACUCAAGCAUCAAACGCUCUCCGACUUCCUCUGUCCUCCUUUCCUGGCGCAGCCUGGGAGGAGGGAGUGGGAUGGAUCGUUUGUGUGUGAGCCUCCGUAGCUGCUCCUUGCCACCUGUCCUUGACUUACUGUGCACAGACGGGGCUGAAAGGAAGUGCUGCCCACGCCUCUGUGGCAUCUUUCUCUCCAUGUUUGUGUGAGUGGCUGUGGUUUUUAAAUCUGUCACUGUGUGUGCAUGUGCGUGCGUGUGUGUGUGCGUGCGUGCGUGUGUGCCGGUCUUCCUUCUACUUGUGGUGUUUCACUGGAGUGGCGAAGGGAGGAACGCUCGUCCUCGGCCGGCGGAGCUCUGAUGGGAGGCAGCGCCGGCUCUGGUUGGGACUGGGGAUGCUGAACGGGGGGAGGGAGGGCCUGUUUGAGCUGGGACAGCAGCUCCAGCAGCAGGGGGAGUACCAGGCCGCCCUCCACUGCUUCCUCAGCUGCCUGUUGGGACUGACCCAUGUGCAGAGUUUCACCUCUCUGCCCAACUGCCUGCACCAGAUUGCAGAACUCUUCAUCACUGAGAAGAAUUAUGGAAAGGCCCUGCAGUUCAUCCAGGCGGAAAAAAUGUUUUAUGAGGUGGCGCUGAUCGAACUCACAGCUCAUCAGGGGACCACAGGGCCUCAUGAGGAGGCAACACUAGGCUCUGCACAAUGGACGACCCCCGAGGAGCUUUCGGAGCAGGCCUCCCAGGCUCAGCACCUCGAGCGCCUGGCCCAGCUCUGCAUCAUGAGCAAACAGCCACAUCUUGCGUUAGAAUACAGUGGUAAGGCUACAAAGAUCCACCAGAGGGCCUUUGGUAACGACCACCCAAUUACAGCCAGGAGCCUGGAGCUCAUGGCCACCGUCUAUGCUGAGAUUGGGAAGACUGAAUAUUCAGACUCGCUGGGUCAGUGUGUGUCCGCGCUGUCCAAGCGCUACGCGGCUGCAGAGUCCAUCAGAGACACUGUCAACUGCAUUCAUCAUUCCCACCGGGACAAACAUGCGGAUGUCCGACACAGGAAGGACAAUGUCCACCAACAGGAGGAUGCAGCAAAGCCUAAGGUGACCAACGGGAGAGUCCCAACCUCCAUUCUAAAGAGGCCAGGCUGCAACCACGGCUCAGAACCAGAACCCAACCACAAGCGGAAAGGAGAGCGGAGGGUUCGAUUCAGGGAGCCAGAGACCACAGUACACGACAUUCCUUACUGUGACUGUUUAGGUGCCUACGAGGCGGCGCCGUCGCGGCCCCACCUCGCCCUCUUCACCUGCCUCUUCCUGCUGAUGUCAUUCCUGGGCGUGGCCAUGUACUGCACGGAGCGGCGGCGGCCGCAGCGGCUGUGCGAGGAGCUGGAGGCGGCGCUGGCCGUCUACCUGCUGCACAUGAAGCAGCUGGUGUGGGGCUGCUGGAUAUGGCUGACCAUGCAGUGACUGAGACCAGCCACAGGUGGCGACGUGGAGCCUCCUUCACGCUCUCUUAUUGUUACCUUUAAAGGUGCCCAGGCCUUCAAACACCUCAGCCAGGGGUACAGUAAGGCUCUGAGGUCUCACAGAGACAGACGGGAAACUUGUUUAACCCCAGAAACAUGUAGCUUCCAUGUCUUUAUGUGUAUAUGUGCUACAGCGGCAGGAAUGCUGCUCUUUAUAUCAGCUAUAUUGACGUUUUCCACAUGUGCUGUUGAUGCUCACAUUUAACAUACACUUAAUCACCACAAACGUGACUUUUCAGUUAAUGUCACAGUUCGAUGCCCCUCCUCCGCGUGAGAGCACACGAUCCUAGGAAUCACAGAGAAGAUUGGAAUUCACGGAGGACCGUGGCUCUGAGGGACCGGGGCUAUCGACCUGCUCUGUCAUUGAGUGAAUGUUCCCAUAGAAUGCAAAUAUUUAAUUUGUUACAGAGCGUAACUUGUGUAUAUCAGAUACUACACUCUGAAUAUGUAUAUAUGGGUCAAUAUACUAAGGACUAUCACAGCAUUCAGCCUUGUACUUGCACAUACAUGAACGUGGAGAUGUUUUGACUGGCAGCGCUGACGUUGGUUGGAAAACGGUCCUGGAGGAGGAGAACGCAGGGCUUCAGAGGCCGAGAGGCAGAAGGAAUGAGUGGAAGAGUGCGGCCGACGGGAAGAUCUGCAGCACAAUAUCGCCAGUCAGCGAAGCAGCUCUCCUCGAACUGAAUGACUGCUAAUGCUUUUUAAAACCGCUUGAAUCCCACCAAAUAUUUAUUCUUCUAUACUGCAUACCUGCAUCUCCACCAAUAUCCAACUUUCAGUCAUUUUGGAUUUGUAACCUUUUUGUUACCUUUUACAUUUCUAUUCUGAAACAGUGAUAUAUUCAGGUUGCAACUGUGAUGUCAAAUAUAUGGAUGUGUGUGGACACAAGUAAUUUUAAUACUCCUUCUUAGCGCAUCACUGUUUUUGAGGCCAAACAGAAAUAUAGCAAAAGCAAUUGAAAAAGCCAAACCACAACACAAAUGGAGCAUAGGACCAUACAAGGGCAUCAUCACACUGAUAAGCAAUAACACAUCACAGGUUCCAGUAAAACGGUGUUUUUUUAUUUAACAGGUUUCAGGGAGCUCAGAGGAAAGGCAAUAUCAGCAAUAUCAUAACUCAUGAUGCCUGAGGAGAAAGAAAAUAUUCUCAACUAUGUACUGUCAGACUAAACUGUCAUUAGCAAUAAAACAAUACCCAGUGAACUCA
This 2794-nucleotide long non-coding RNA is filed under the name Betta splendens (Siamese fighting fish). RNAcentral describes it as "lncRNA (ENSBSLG00000026168.1)". Lineage: Eukaryota; Metazoa; Chordata; Actinopteri; Anabantiformes; Osphronemidae. The record is from RNAcentral.